GGGGAAUAUUGGACAAUGGGGGGAACCCUGAUCCAGCCAUGCCGCGUGUGUGAAGAAGGCCUUUUGGUUGUAAAGCACUUUAAGCGAGGAGGAGGCUCUUUUGGUUAAUACCCAGAAUGAGUGGACGUUACUCGCAGAAUAAGCACCGGCUAACUCUGUGCCAGCAGCCGCGGUAAUACAGAGGGUGCGAGCGUUAAUCGGAUUUACUGGGCGUAAAGCGUACGUAGGCGGCUUUUUAAGUCGGAUGUGAAAUCCCUGAGCUUAACUUAGGAAUUGCAUUCGAUACUGGGAAGCUAGAGUAUGGGAGAGGAUGGUAGAAUUCCAGGUGUAGCGGUGAAAUGCGUAGAGAUCUGGAGGAAUACCGAUGGCGAAGGCAGCCAUCUGGCCUAAUACUGACGCUGAGGUACGAAAGCAUGGGGAGCAAAC
RNAcentral lists this ribosomal RNA (426 nucleotides) under uncultured bacterium. RNAcentral's name for it is "bacterial SSU rRNA". It matches the Rfam family "Bacterial small subunit ribosomal RNA", at positions 356 to 773 of the family's 1533-position model. The record is from RNAcentral.